UAAUUUGAAGGUGGGGUUGAAUAGGUCUAGAUACUUUAAGUCCAUUGGAAAAUGGCGCCAUGGAGGUGAAAGCCCCGGUAAAAGUAUUCAAACCUUCUUUUCCUCCCCUCUCUAUAGAGUCUGAAUUGUUGGGAAUGCAGCUCUAAGUGGGUGGUAAAUUCCAUCUAAAGCUAAAUAUUGGCGAGAGACCGAUAGCGAACAAGUACAGUGAUGGAAAGAUGAAAAGCACUUUGAAAAGAGAGUGAAAAAGUACGUGAAAUUGUUGAAAGGGAAGGGCUUGCAAGCAGACACAACCUCGGUUGGGCCAGCAUCGGAAUGGGGGGAGACAAAAAAGGUUAGGAAUGUAGCUCACUUUAAAUUUUAAUUUCCGGGCCCUUUUU
RNAcentral lists this ribosomal RNA (380 nucleotides) under Metschnikowia koreensis. RNAcentral describes it as "partial large subunit ribosomal RNA". It matches the Rfam family "Eukaryotic large subunit ribosomal RNA", at positions 147 to 550 of the family's 3401-position model. The record is from RNAcentral. Lineage: Eukaryota; Fungi; Ascomycota; Pichiomycetes; Serinales; Metschnikowiaceae.